Non-coding RNA from Pelobates cultripes (western spadefoot toad), 205 nucleotides. Lineage: Eukaryota; Metazoa; Chordata; Amphibia; Anura; Pelobatidae. The record is from the annotation of a GenBank genome assembly.
AAAAAACUGAAUAUUCAAGGAUAUAAAAGUUCAAUGUAGGGUAAUAACUGCUUGAUCGAAGGAUAAAUCUGACUGCCAUUCUGGGGUCAAGAAGGAAUUUUUUUCCUAGAUGGUUGCAAAAUUGGAAAUGCUUCAAACUGGGGUUUUUGCCUUCUUUUGGAUCAACAGAAAAAAACAAAUGCGAGGAAGGCUGAACUUGAUGGAC